AUUGAACGCUGGCGGCAGGCCUAACACAUGCAAGUCGAGCGGAUGAGGGGAGCUUGCUCCCUGAUUUAGCGGCGGACGGGUGAGUAAUGCCUAGGAAUCUGCCUGGUAUUGGGGGAUAACGUUCCGAAAGGAACGCUAAUACCGCAUACGUCCUACGGGAGAAAGCAGGGGACCUUCGGGCCUUGCGCUAUCAGAUGAGCCUAGGUCGGAUUAGCUAGUUGGUGAGGUAAUGGCUCACCAAGGCGACGAUCCGUAACUGGUCUGAGAGGAUGAUCAGUCACACUGGAACUGAGACACGGUCCAGACUCCUACGGGAGGCAGCAGUGGGGAAUAUUGGACAAUGGGCGAAAGCCUGAUCCAGCCAUGCCGCGUGUGUGAAGAAGGUCUUCGGAUUGUAAAGCACUUUAAGUUGGGAGGAAGGGCUGCUGGUUAAUACCCUGCAGUUUUGACGUUACCAACAGAAUAAGCACCGGCUAACUUCGUG
Molecule: ribosomal RNA, 484 nt
Filed under: uncultured bacterium
Lineage: Bacteria
Description: partial 16S ribosomal RNA
Rfam family: Bacterial small subunit ribosomal RNA
Source: RNAcentral